CUCGUCGUAGCUCAGUGGUAGAGCGCCCGGCUCGGGCCCGGCGCCGGUUCGAGCCCGGCCGGCGGGG
Molecule: transfer RNA, 67 nt
Filed under: Microbispora catharanthi
Lineage: Bacteria; Bacillati; Actinomycetota; Actinomycetes; Streptosporangiales; Streptosporangiaceae
Description: Microbispora sp. CR1-09 tRNA-Pro
Rfam family: tRNA
About the family: Transfer RNA (tRNA) molecules are approximately 80 nucleotides in length. Their secondary structure includes four short double-helical elements and three loops (D, anti-codon, and T loops). Further hydrogen bonds mediate the characteristic L-shaped molecular structure. tRNAs have two regions of fundamental functional importance: the anti-codon, which is responsible for specific mRNA codon recognition, and the 3' end, to which the tRNAs corresponding amino acid is attached (by aminoacyl-tRNA synthetases). tRNAs cope with the degeneracy of the genetic code in two manners: having more than one tRNA (with a specific anti-codon) for a particular amino acid; and 'wobble' base-pairing, i.e. permitting non-standard base-pairing at the 3rd anti-codon position.
Source: RNAcentral